RNAcentral lists this ribosomal RNA (253 nucleotides) under uncultured bacterium. RNAcentral's name for it is "partial 16S ribosomal RNA". It matches the Rfam family "Bacterial small subunit ribosomal RNA", at positions 524 to 776 of the family's 1533-position model. The record is from RNAcentral.
UACGAAGGGAGCUAGCGUUGUUCGGAAUUACUGGGCGUAAAGCGCGCGUAGGCGGACCGUAAAGUUGGGGGUGAAAUCCCAGGGCUCAACCCUGGAACUGCCUCCAAAACUCACGGUCUUGAGAUCGAGAGAGGUGAGUGGAAUUCCGAGUGUAGAGGUGAAAUUCGUAGAUAUUCGGAGGAACACCAGUGGCGAAGGCGGCUCACUGGCUCGAUACUGACGCUGAGGUGCGAAAGCGUGGGGAGCAAACAGG